Molecule: ribosomal RNA, 376 nt
Filed under: uncultured bacterium
Lineage: Bacteria
Description: bacterial SSU rRNA
Rfam family: Bacterial small subunit ribosomal RNA
Source: RNAcentral
AUUGAACGCUGGCGGCAUGCCUUACACAUGCAAGUCGAACGGCAGCACGGGGGCAACCCUGGUGGCGAGUGGCGAACGGGUGAGUAAUAUAUCGGAACGUACCCUGGAGUGGGGGAUAACGUAGCGAAAGUUACGCUAAUACCGCAUACGAUCUAAGGAUGAAAGUGGGGGAUCGCAAGACCUCAUGCUCCUGGAGCGGCCGAUAUCUGAUUAGCUAGUUGGUGGGGUAAAGGCCUACCAAGGCAUCGAUCAGUAGCUGGUCUGAGAGGACGACCAGCCACACUGGGACUGAGACACGGCCCAGACUCCUACGGAGGCAGCAGUGGGGAAUUUUGGACAAUGGGGGCAACCCUGAUCCAGCAAUGCCGCGUGAGUG